Molecule: ribosomal RNA, 497 nt
Filed under: uncultured bacterium
Lineage: Bacteria
Description: partial 16S ribosomal RNA
Rfam family: Bacterial small subunit ribosomal RNA
Source: RNAcentral
GAUGAACGCUGGCGGCGUGCCUAAUACAUGCAAGUCGAGCGAACGGACGAGAAGCUUGCUUCUCUGAUGUUAGCGGCGGACGGGUGAGUAACACGUGGAUAACCUACCUAUAAGACUGGGAUAACUUCGGGAAACCGGAGCUAAUACCGGAUAAUAUUUUGAACCGCAUGGUUCAAAAGUGAAAGACGGUCUUGCUGUCACUUAUAGAUGGAUCCGCGCUGCAUUAGCUAGUUGGUAAGGUAACGGCUUACCAAGGCAACGAUGCGUAGCCGACCUGAGAGGGUGAUCAGCCACACUGGAACUGAGACACGGUCCAGACUCCUACGGGAGGCAGCAGUAGGGAAUCUUCCGCAAUGGGCGAAAGCCUGACGGAGCAACGCCGCGUGAGUGAUGAAGGUCUUCGGAUCGUAAAACUCUGUUAUUAGGGAAGAACAUAUGUGUAAGUAACUGUGCACAUCUUGACGGUACCUAAUCAGAAAGCCACGGCUAACUACGUG